GAUCCUGGCUCAGGAUGAACGCUAGCUACAGGCUUAACACAUGCAAGUCGAGGGGCAGCAGUGAACUUAGCUUGCUAAGUUUGAUGGCGACCGGCGCACGGGUGAGUAACACGUAUCCAACCUGCCGAGUGACUCGGGGAUAGCCUUUCGAAACGAAAGAUUAAUACCCGAUGGCAUAGUUCUUCCGCAUGGUAGAACUAUUAAAGAAUUUACGGUCUAUCGAUGGGGGAUGCGUUCCAUUAGGG
Molecule: ribosomal RNA, 245 nt
Filed under: uncultured bacterium
Lineage: Bacteria
Description: partial 16S ribosomal RNA
Rfam family: Bacterial small subunit ribosomal RNA
Source: RNAcentral